RNAcentral lists this long non-coding RNA (333 nucleotides) under Anas zonorhyncha (Eastern spot-billed duck). RNAcentral's name for it is "lncRNA (ENSAZOG00000000677.1)". Lineage: Eukaryota; Metazoa; Chordata; Aves; Anseriformes; Anatidae. The record is from RNAcentral.
CAUCCUGUUUCCCUGACAGGGCACCGAGAGGCCUCCCCAGGCUGGCGGUGCUCCCCCAGGCAGCAGGCACCACACCUGGGGACAGGGACAGGCCACAACAUGGGCCCGUGGGUGUGGCAGGCAGCACAGAAUUGCAUCCAAACAACUUGCCCCAUGUCACACACCGUGCUGAGCACAAAGGCUGCAUCAUGCCUGAUUUACAGCACACACAGGAAACGACCAAAUAAUUUGGAAGUAUUGCAGAGUUGCUCUGUGCAAAAUUGGUUUGAAGUGAGGAGACUAGUUAUAGUUGCCUGGACUUCUGUUCGAUGUGUUGAUAUAAAAGAGGGGUAG